This 253-nucleotide ribosomal RNA is filed under the name uncultured bacterium. Its description in RNAcentral is "partial 16S ribosomal RNA". It matches the Rfam family "Bacterial small subunit ribosomal RNA", at positions 524 to 776 of the family's 1533-position model. The record is from RNAcentral.
UACGUAGGGUCCGAGCGUUGUCCGGAAUUAUUGGGCGUAAAGAGCUCGUAGGCGGUUUGUCGCGUCUGCUGUGAAAUCCCGAGGCUCAACCUCGGGCCUGCAGUGGGUACGGGCAGACUGGAGUGCGGUAGGGGAGAAUGGAAUUCCUGGUGUAGCGGUGGAAUGCGCAGAUAUCAGGAGGAACACCGAUGGCGAAGGCAGGUCACUGGGCCGCAACUGACGCUGAGGAGCGAAAGCAUGGGGAGCGAACAGG